CUGCAGUGAUGAUUUCUAGAUGUGACUGACCUGGAAUUGCUGGCCUCCGGGUCGCCUCUGUUCAGGAAAUGACUUGGGUUAAUCUUCUCUCUGAGCGG
Poecilia reticulata (guppy) is the source of this 98-nucleotide small nucleolar RNA. The record is from Ensembl. NCBI's taxonomy places the organism in Eukaryota, Metazoa, Chordata, Actinopteri, Cyprinodontiformes, Poeciliidae.